Molecule: small nuclear RNA, 188 nt
Filed under: Xenopus tropicalis (tropical clawed frog)
Lineage: Eukaryota; Metazoa; Chordata; Amphibia; Anura; Pipidae
Description: U2 spliceosomal RNA (ENSXETG00000049364.1)
Rfam family: U2 spliceosomal RNA
About the family: U2 is a small nuclear RNA (snRNA) component of the spliceosome (involved in pre-mRNA splicing). Complementary binding between U2 snRNA (in an area lying towards the 5' end but 3' to hairpin I) and the branchpoint sequence (BPS) of the intron results the bulging out of an unpaired adenosine, on the BPS, which initiates a nucleophilic attack at the intronic 5' splice site, thus starting the first of two transesterification reactions that mediate splicing.
Source: Rfam by way of RNAcentral
AUCGCUUCUCGGCCUUUUGGCUAAGAUCAAGUGUAGUAUCUGUUCUUAUCAGUUUAAUAUCUGAUACGUCCCCUAUCUGGGACCAUAUAUUAAAUGGAUUUUGGAACAGGGAGAUGGAAGAAGAGCUUGCUCUGCCACUCCACGCAUCGACCUGGUAUUGCAGUACCUCCAGGACCGGUGCACCUCUU